UUUGUACUAAAACAUUUAAGUCACUUUAUUAUACAACUUUCUAUAAAAGCUCAUUGAAAUAGGAUAAAAGCUUUUAAAGUUAUUUGUACUAAAAAGUUAAGGUGAAACAUAGAUGGCCCAAAGGAGUCGAAAAUAUGAACUGUGGUUGACUCGUCUAAAUUUUUAGUUUUGUAUUAGUAAAUGUCAAAUUACAUGAUCAGUAAAAUUUUACGUUCGAUCAAGUUUCGUAGAAUAGAUUCAGCCAUUACCAAAUCUGAUCGGCAAGUGAGCAGACAGUUAGUUUCGGUGAUAGUGCUUUCAAUUUUUUCAAUCUAAGUUAUUAAAAAUAGUUCCGGAUUUAUUUUAUCACUGGGAACGGAAACUCUGCUCAUCUGUGCAGUUCUAAAUCUGUACAAAAGGUAAUUUUAUAAAGUGAAUUCAUUUAAUGUACAAAAUUCUAAUUGGUUUCGUCGUUGGGCAUCAGCGUCCAACGGACGCUUUUUUGUACGGGCCUCAAGCCCGCAGCUACACACUCCGCCAUUUUGAACAUCCACACGACCACGUGGGACAUUUCCGAGGACGCUCGCUCAUCCAGGCCCGCCACAGAGCUGGCAGUCAAACGGGUGGAGAGGAUUGUCUGGCCUGCCCGCAUUCUGAGAGGAGUGAUCGGGUAGCGUACUUGGACCUGCCGAAACCCUUCCCCGCACCUUUAUUCCGGCCAUCAGUGAUUCGAGCUUCUUUUCCGAGCCGUCCCUCGAAGGAACGGGAUCCCGCCGGCCCCGGCGGCAAACCCUUGCUCCGCCGCUGCGCUCGCCAAGAACAUCGCACUCCGUCCGUGCACCCCUCGUCAGCUGACAGCAUAAGUUAAACCCUGCGCAGGUAUGUCCUCAUAAUCAUGGCCAUGAACACACUACACAACACACACUCACACACUCUCACACUGGAUGCUUAAAACGAAAAAAUGAAUUAAUACAUAAAAAUGAAUUCAAACUCAACA
Molecule: long non-coding RNA, 976 nt
Organism: Aedes albopictus (Asian tiger mosquito)
Lineage: Eukaryota; Metazoa; Arthropoda; Insecta; Diptera; Culicidae
Exons: 2
Source: RefSeq, a predicted model, not a curated record